This is a long non-coding RNA of Camelina sativa (false flax), 382 nucleotides long. RefSeq lists it as uncharacterized. NCBI's taxonomy places the organism in Eukaryota, Viridiplantae, Streptophyta, Magnoliopsida, Brassicales, Brassicaceae. The record is from RefSeq and is a predicted model, not a curated record.
ACGUUUUCAGCUGAACUCUCAAAGAUUAGAUUUGAGGGCGGUUAUCGACCACAGAAGAGUAGUAACGAUACGUCUGCGUCAUCUCUGUGCUUCUUUGUCUACACUUUUGGAAAAAGUGAUGACGCCAUCGCCCUUUCCCAAAUGUAGACAAAGCAAUACCGUGAUGACGUUAUAGAGAUUUUGUGAUGUUACGAAUGUUUUUGUAUGUUCAUCAGAUGAUCGAUCUUACUCUUUACGAGAUCUUCUUAAGUCAUAGAUGCGUGUGAUGAUGGAUCUAGAGUUCAAGAGUAGUUUUUUUUUUUGUUUUUUUUUUGUUUAUUGGUGAAUUUUGUUGUUCAGAUACGUUUCAAAGAGAAAAUAUAACCAAAAAGAUUUUAGACAA